RNAcentral lists this ribosomal RNA (468 nucleotides) under uncultured bacterium. RNAcentral's name for it is "partial 16S ribosomal RNA". It matches the Rfam family "Bacterial small subunit ribosomal RNA", at positions 28 to 507 of the family's 1533-position model. The record is from RNAcentral.
GACGAACGCUGGCGGCGUGCUUAACACAUGCAAGUCGAACGGAAAGGCCCUGCUUUUGUGUGGUGCUCGAGUGGCGAACGGGUGAGUAACACGUGAGUAACCUGCCCUUGACUUUGGGAUAACUUCAGGAAACUGGGGCUAAUACCGGAUAGGAGCUCCUGCUGCAUGUUGUGGGUUGGAAAGUUUCGGCGGUUGGGGAUGGACUCGCGGCUUAUCAGCUUGUUGGUGUGGUAGUGGCUUACCAAGGCUUUGACGGGUAGCCGGCCUGAGAGGGUGACCGGCCACAUUGGGACUGAGAUACGGCCCAGACUCCUACGGGAGGCAGCAGUGGGGAAUAUUGCACAAUGGGCGGAAGCCUGAUGCAGCAACGCCGCGUGCGGGAUGACGGCCUUCGGGUUGUAAACCGCUUUCGCCUGUGACGAAGCGUGAGUGACGGUAAUGGGUAAAGAAGCACCGGCUAACUACGUG